Non-coding RNA from Trachymyrmex cornetzi, 119 nucleotides. NCBI's taxonomy places the organism in Eukaryota, Metazoa, Arthropoda, Insecta, Hymenoptera, Formicidae. The record is from Rfam.
GUCAACAUUCAAACCAUGUUUAAAAUACCAGUUCUCGUCCGAUCACUGAAGUCAAGCAACAUUGGGCACGGUUAGUACUUGGAUGGGUGACCGCUUGGGAACACCGUGUGAUGUUGACA